Non-coding RNA from Hydra vulgaris (swiftwater hydra), 275 nucleotides. The record is from RefSeq and is a predicted model, not a curated record. NCBI's taxonomy places the organism in Eukaryota, Metazoa, Cnidaria, Hydrozoa, Anthoathecata, Hydridae.
UCAAUUCAAUCGUUUUCAGUUUUUAUGUUUUAACAUGUCUACUGCCUUUAUUAAAUUUGUUUUUAAGCAUAUUUGUUUUUAUUUUUUAUAUCGAAUUAAUAGAAUGAAUCAGAUUGAAGAUGAAGGUUUGUAUUUAUUUAGAUGUGUAUUAUGUUACAGAUGUAUAAUGUUAUGUUGUUAGUUCUUAAAUAUAUGUUUAUUUUUAGUUGCUGAAUUACUAAGAAAUGAUGACAAUAUUGAAGCAAACGUUGGUGAUAAUAUUGGAACAAGUAAGU